UACGUAGGGUGCAAGCGUUGUCCGGACUUAUUGGGCGUAAAGGGCUCGUAGGCGGUUUGUCGCGUCGGGAGUGAAAACCUCGGGCUUAACUCGGGGCUUGCUUUCGAUACGGGCAGACUAGAGGUAUGCAGGGGAGAACGGAAUUCCUGGUGUAGCGGUGAAAUGCGCAGAUAUCAGGAGGAACACCGGUGGCGAAGGCGGUUCUCUGGGCAUGAUCUGACGCUGAGGAGCGAAAGUGUGGGGAGCGAACAGG
This 253-nucleotide ribosomal RNA is filed under the name uncultured bacterium. RNAcentral describes it as "partial 16S ribosomal RNA". It matches the Rfam family "Bacterial small subunit ribosomal RNA", at positions 524 to 776 of the family's 1533-position model. The record is from RNAcentral.